UGGGGAAUAUUGGACAAUGGGGGCAACCCUGAUCCAGCCAUGCCGCGUGAGUGAUGAAGGCCUUCGGGUUGUAAAGCUCUUUUGGCGGGGACGAUGAUGACGGUACCCGCAGAAUAAGCCCCGGCUAACUUCGUGCCAGCAGCCGCGGUAAGACGAAGGGGGCUAGCGUUGUUCGGAAUUACUGGGCGUAAAGCGAGUGUAGGCGGUUGCCGUAGUCAGGUGUGAAAGCCUUGAGCUCAACUCAAGAAAUGCACUUGAUACUGGGUGACUAGAGGACCGGAGAGGAUAGUGGAAUUCCCAGUGUAGUGGUGAAAUACGUAGAGAUUGGGAAGAACACCAGUGGCGAAGGCGGCUAUCUGGACGGUUACUGACGCUAAGACUCGAAAGCGUGGGGAGCAAACAGGAUUAGAUACCCUGGUAGUCCACGCCGUAAACGAUGGGUGCUAGACGUUGGCGAGCUUGCUCGUCAGUGUCGCAGCUAACGCGUUAAGCACCCCGCCUGGGGAGUACGGCCGCAAGGUUGAAACUUAAAUGAAUUGACGGGGUCAUAGCUG
RNAcentral lists this ribosomal RNA (554 nucleotides) under uncultured bacterium. RNAcentral's name for it is "partial 16S ribosomal RNA". It matches the Rfam family "Bacterial small subunit ribosomal RNA", at positions 355 to 932 of the family's 1533-position model. The record is from RNAcentral.